CUUCAACGAGCCCAGCCACAACGGCCGUUCACGCUCCUGGCCAUACGUAGCCAGUAAGGCCUGCGCCUC
Streptomyces albus is the source of this 69-nucleotide non-coding RNA. It matches the Rfam family "ASpks TB sRNA". The record is from Rfam. Lineage: Bacteria; Bacillati; Actinomycetota; Actinomycetes; Kitasatosporales; Streptomycetaceae.